RNAcentral lists this ribosomal RNA (656 nucleotides) under Rotaria rotatoria. RNAcentral's name for it is "eukaryotic LSU rRNA". It matches the Rfam family "Eukaryotic large subunit ribosomal RNA", at positions 129 to 628 of the family's 3401-position model. Lineage: Eukaryota; Metazoa; Rotifera; Eurotatoria; Philodinida; Philodinidae. The record is from RNAcentral.
ACNUUUGACAUGNAUUGUAGCAUUUGGGGUAACUAUUGUAUGGUACCUGUUCGUGUGAGUUCCUUUGAUCAGGGCUUUAACCAUAGAAGGUGCUAGUCCUAUAAUCACGAAUAGUUUUGUGCUGUACAUUGUAUACCUUUCGAGUAGCGUAGUUUGAGAUUGCUACGCCAACGUGGGACGUAAACUUGUUCCAAAGCUAAAUAUUAUAACGAGACCGAUAGCGAACAAGUACCGUGAGGGAAAGUUGAAAAGCACUCUGAAGAGAGAGUUAAAUAGUACGUAAAACCGUACAGAAGAAAACGAAUGGCCGCAUUCAUCAGAUUACUUUGAAUUCAAUUCGAUCUCUAUAUGAUGAUAAUACAUGUUAAUUUGGAACCUCAACAGUCCAUUGAUAUGUUAUUGUCUGGAAUCAAGUGCAUUUUCAAAGUAUUAACUGAACCUGGAUCUGUAACAUUGAAAGCUAGUCGAAUCGGGCUAUUUUGGUAGCGAGUUUUACUCGUGUUAAAAAUAUGACUUGCAUAAAUAACUAAUUCAACUUGUCAUUAUAGGUAAACAGACAUGUUCUUUGAUUUCAGUACUUCUAGUACGGCAUGNUAUGAGCAUUGAUGGUGUCNCAUGNNNNACUAAUGCCUGAACAGUAUUAGUUUUAUUCAUUG